UGCUCCGCCUCUUCCUCGACCUCUCACGCUCGCUCGCGACCCUCAGCCGUGGCUAGGGUUUCGGGCUGGGCAUCGCCUUCGUCGCCGGCGUGGCUCCAGCGGACCCCGGCGGCUCCUCUCCGUCUCCUCCCUCGCCCCCCACACAUUUGGUGCAGCAGCCGCUGUGGAUCAAGUUCUUGGUGGAGAUGCAACGGAUGCUCAAAGUGAUUCAUCAGGGAGGACCCCCGCCAGUAGAGGGAUGGCUCCUGUCCAAGGCCAUCCAUGGGUUAUGGCAGGAGACCAGGAGAAGAACAAGCAAUUUUAUCUAAAAAUAGAAGAGCUAGCACCAAAGAGCCCCAGCCCACCUCCAAGAUCAAAUUCUAUAUAAUUCAUGAAUAGUGGUUGUCGACACAUCUUCUAACAAAGUCACCUCUAAUGAUCCUUCUGUCGACAAGCAGCUAGACCCAAGUCUCCAGAAAAAGCAUGGCCGCCGGCACAAAAUGGACGAAGAAGAGGUGAGCUGCCGCGACAUUGAAGCUCUCGCACCGCUGCUCCCGUCGAGCUCGCGCGUGCAACGGAUCUGAUGGCGAACACAGCCCGUCUGUCCGCCGGCACCUCCAAGCAAGGCCUACAACAGCAGAACUGUUUGGGAGAUCAAGCAGAAAAUUGUUGGCUGUCGAUCGUGGCUGCUACAUGGAUCAAAGCCAGAGCCUUAAUAUCAACAUGGAUCUGUAUAACUUCAUUGCACUUCCACGCCUGGUCCAUGGUUUGCCUGUCAAUUUAGAUACUGUUUAGCACUCUGUGAUUUUACUGAAAAUUUAGCAGUCAGUGUUGAACAGGUCGUUACAUCCCCACGCUUGAACAAGUCACAUGACAAGGCGUUCAAUCAAAGCUCUCUCUAUAUGUGGUCUACUAUAAAAUAUAUUACUUUACCAUAGUAGAAUCAAAUAGAUUGGUUAUCCUGUGUUAUCAUUAUGCCCUGCUUUUAGUAUAUUGUAAAUCUUGCUUUGUACCGAAUCUUUAUGCAAAUCGAUUAUCCUGGGCUACCACUAUGCCAUUCUCUUGGAAUGUAAUGAAUCUUGGUGCAAAUCAGUUAUCCUGUCAAAUCUUGAUGCUUUUUUACUUAACCACUAUUAUUAUAAAUAUGCAUUCUGUUGAACCAGCUCCUUCUAUGGGAGACGCUUGACCAUUGCCUUACACAGGCACUACACGUUGCGCUUUCUGAUGUAAAUCACUUCCUGGACAGGCGACACGCAUCCUGAUGCAAAUCAGUUCCUGGACAACCAACUUGAGAUCAAUUAUCCGGACAUAUACCCGGAUUGCAUCUAUGUUCUAAAAUCUUAUCCAGACCUGAUCAAUAUGUGAAAAUUUAGUGAGGGGUGCCCCUGGUUACUCACGUCGCUCCAGGUUCACAUUGUAUUGACUUGCAGCGCCAGCCUGCCAUUUGGCCUGCAGCCCUGGUCGUUGCAAGUUAGCCUUACAUAGGUAUAAGGGUUUUAGUACUUCAUUAAUGUAACAAAGUGAAGAGAAAACUGCUGCAUCGAAUUACUAAUGGAGUCGUUUCGAUGAGAACUGAUAAAGAAUAUAUUUCAUGACUGAGACAUUGAUAUGAAAUUUGAGUAUUUAAUAGAGAAGUCCAGUUCAUAUAUGAAGAAAAAGAAAGGCAUUAUGUACUACAUUGACAGUGAUUGUUAGCCCAUUAUGGUACUUCAAAUCGGAUAAAGAAUAUAUUUCCUGACCGAGACAUGGGAUUUAGAGUCUCAGUUCUGAUAUGUACAUAAAUCUCCUUUUAUUUUGUCAUGCUACUGAUAGUUUUGAUAUGGGACUAUUUGUUUUGUUUAUGUCUUAUAAAUAAUGAAAUGGCAUAUAUGUUAAGUUCUCCUAUUUUAAUUAUAUUAUGUUGUCGAUGAUGUAUGGUUCUGGAAUUUGGAGAUUAACAUUCAGGCUUUGGUAUCUUGUAUGUUUUUGCGUUCUACUAAACUUGAUGCAAACAAUUUGUCCUAUCUGGCACUGGCUUUUUGGAACAAAUUUUGUCAUGUGCGUGCAAAUUAAUUAUCCUUUUGACUUAGUAUACUCAGAUUACCAUGUUUUUGGUAUAUCUCUACUAUUUGCGCUCUAUACUAAACUCCUUAGUACCGAAAGAAUGACGUGAUUGGAUGUACAAGAUAUAUACAUGCUGGGUCACGGUGCUCACGCGGGCAACGUGCGCCAAGGCGCGCUUCCGUUCUAGUCAUAUAUGAAACCAAAAGAAAGGCUUCUGCAGGUUACAGACCUCACCACUCUGUGUUUGUGACAGAGGACUUCAGUUCAAAUUGUCAGUCCUGAGGUGAACCCCGAAAGGCGUCAUGUUGUUGUCUAGGGGCUCUCCAAGAAGAACUAUAAAGGCAGGGACACCUCCAACUUUACUUCAAAUGACUCAAGCAAUCGGCACUAUGGUUCACAAGAAAGUGGCUUGACCAACACCCCAUGAAGCCACAACCAGGAACAGGGCACGUUUGAAGGAGCAAAAAGGCAAGUUUCUCUUCAUGAUUAUUCAUUUGUGCAUACAACCCCACUUGGCGUAUGCGCAUGAGGACUUAAUCGACUUAACUAUAUUUUCCAGUGCAAUGUUUUGUGCAAAUUAAGAUAGCAUCAUGAGAACAAACGUGACACCUACUGCUGAUUAGCAUCCUACAUGGCCGUUUUGGCACUGGAAAACACAAAACAAGCUAUGAUCAUGUAAGGGCUAUCUAAAACUUUGCUCCUCAUUAAACGAUCUUCUGUAAUUGUCGGUCAUUUAAGAGACCAGUCCAAAUGUCAGCUUAAAUAUACACCAAAACAUUAUAACAUGGCUUUAUCAUUCUGGAUGGAAAUCUGGAGUGUUUCCAUCCAAGUUACAUUGUUCUUGAAUGGUAAUACUUUGUCACCCUACUAGAGUUGUUAAUGUAAAUGGUGACAAGGUGAUCAUUGUCACC
RNAcentral lists this ribosomal RNA (2933 nucleotides) under Triticum aestivum (bread wheat). RNAcentral describes it as "partial small subunit ribosomal RNA". The record is from RNAcentral. Lineage: Eukaryota; Viridiplantae; Streptophyta; Magnoliopsida; Poales; Poaceae.